AACGAACGCUGGCGGCAGGCUUAACACAUGCAAGUCGAACGCCCCGCCAGGGGAGUGGCAGACGGGUGAGUAACACGUGGGAACAUGCCCAAAGGUACGGAAUAUUCUCGGGAAACUGAGAGCAAUACCGUAUGUGCCCGAAAGGGGAAAGAUUUAUCGCCUUUGGAUUGGCCCGCGUCGGAUUAGCUAGUUGGUGGGGUAAAAGCCUACCAAGGCGACGAUCCGUAGCUGGUCUGAGAGGACGACCAGCCACACUGGGACUGAGACACGGCCCAGACUCCUACGGGAGGCAGCAGUGGGGAAUCUUGGACAAUGGGCGCAAGCCUGAUCCAGCCAUGCCGCGUGGAUGAUGAAGGCCCUAGGGUUGUAAAAUCCUUUCGUGGGGGACGAUAAUGACGGUACCCAAAGAAGAAGCUCCGGCUAACUUCGUG
Molecule: ribosomal RNA, 431 nt
Filed under: uncultured bacterium
Lineage: Bacteria
Description: partial 16S ribosomal RNA
Rfam family: Bacterial small subunit ribosomal RNA
Source: RNAcentral